This 253-nucleotide ribosomal RNA is filed under the name uncultured bacterium. RNAcentral's name for it is "partial 16S ribosomal RNA". It matches the Rfam family "Bacterial small subunit ribosomal RNA", at positions 524 to 776 of the family's 1533-position model. The record is from RNAcentral.
UACGAAGGGUGCAAGCGUUACUCGGAAUUACUGGGCGUAAAGCGUGCGUAGGUGGUCUGUUAAGUCUGAUGUGAAAGCCCUGGGCUCAACCUGGGAAUGGCAUUGGAUACUGGCAGGCUAGAGUGCGGUAGAGGAUGGCGGAAUUCCCGGUGUAGCAGUGAAAUGCGUAGAGAUCGGGAGGAACAUCUGUGGCGAAGGCGGCUCACUGGCCCGGUACUGACGCUGAGGCGCGAAAGCGUGGGGAGCAAACAGG